Molecule: transfer RNA, 25 nt
Filed under: Poa pratensis (Kentucky bluegrass)
Lineage: Eukaryota; Viridiplantae; Streptophyta; Magnoliopsida; Poales; Poaceae
Also listed under: 1 other name
Description: partial tRNA-Phe
Source: RNAcentral
GUCAGGAUAGCUCAGUUGGUAGAGC